AACGCACCUUGCGCCCCUUGGUAUUCCGAGGGGCAUGCCUGUUUGAGUGUCAUUAAAUCCUCAACUCCGAUCGAUUUGUUUCGACCCCGGGGCUUGGACUUGGAGUGUGCUGGCGUCUGGUCGGCUCCUCUCAAAUGCAUCAGCGGAAUUGAACCUUUGGGGUUUCCGGACAUCAGUGUGAUAAUCAAUGUUGUGCUGUUGUCUGACCUCAAAAGUCCGCUCACAAUCGUCCCUUCGUGGACAAAGCUCAUCAAAUUUGACCUCAAAUCAGGUAGGACUACCCGCUGAACUUAA
This 294-nucleotide unclassified non-coding RNA is filed under the name uncultured Piloderma. Its description in RNAcentral is "sequence contains ITS2". The stretch from base 1 to 52 matches the Rfam family "5.8S ribosomal RNA", at positions 103 to 154 of the family's 154-position model. Lineage: Eukaryota; Fungi; Basidiomycota; Agaricomycetes; Atheliales; Atheliaceae. The record is from RNAcentral.